RNAcentral lists this ribosomal RNA (499 nucleotides) under uncultured bacterium. Its description in RNAcentral is "partial 16S ribosomal RNA". It matches the Rfam family "Bacterial small subunit ribosomal RNA", at positions 28 to 507 of the family's 1533-position model. The record is from RNAcentral.
GAUGGGCGCUGGCGGCGUGCCUAAUACAUGCAAGUCGAGCGAACAGACGAGAGUGCUUGCACUCUCUGCCGUUAGCGGCGGACGGGUGAGUAACACGUGGGUAACCUACCUAUAAGACUGGGAUAACUUCGGGAAACCGGAGCUAAUACCGGAUAAUAUUUAGCUUCGCAUGAAGCAAUAGUGAAAGACGGUUCUGCUGUCACUUAUAGAUGGACCCGCGGUGUAUUAGCUAGUUGGUGAGGUAACGGCUCACCAAGGCAACGAUACAUAGCCGACCUGAGAGGGUGAUCGGCCACACUGGGACUGAGACACGGCCCAGACUCCUACGGGAGGCAGCAGUAGGGAAUCUUCCGCAAUGGACGAAAGUCUGACGGAGCAAUGCCGCGUGAGUGAAGAAGGUUUUCGGAUCGUAAAACUCUGUUGUAAGGGAAGAACAAGUGCGUUAGUAACUGAACGUACCUUGACGGUACCUUACCAGAAAGCCACGGCUAACUACGUG